GGGUCAUUGAGGGUUGAGGAUGAGGAUUGAUUGGUUGUUGGUAAAGAGGAUGGAAUUAGAUUUAGGGUUGGUGGGAAUGCAAGCGUAGGUUUCAGAGAGGAGUGGCAUAUGUAGAGGAGGUUGAGGAAACGGAGAUUCGAUUUGAAAGGGAAGGUAGAAAUGGAAAAGUGAGAUUGGAGUUGUGCAGUGCACAGAGGAAGAGAAAGGUUAUCACUUGGAGUGAGCUUACAGAAGAGUAAAAGAUAGGAUUUUUUUUAUUUG
This 261-nucleotide unclassified non-coding RNA is filed under the name Hevea brasiliensis (rubber tree). Lineage: Eukaryota; Viridiplantae; Streptophyta; Magnoliopsida; Malpighiales; Euphorbiaceae. The record is from RNAcentral.